Molecule: transfer RNA, 76 nt
Filed under: bacterium
Lineage: Bacteria
Description: tRNA-Arg
Rfam family: tRNA
About the family: Transfer RNA (tRNA) molecules are approximately 80 nucleotides in length. Their secondary structure includes four short double-helical elements and three loops (D, anti-codon, and T loops).
Source: RNAcentral
GCCCUGGUAGCUCAAUGGAUAGAGCAACAGCCUUCUAAGCUGUAGGUUACUGGUUCGAGUCCAGUCCAGGGCACCA